This 432-nucleotide ribosomal RNA is filed under the name uncultured Escherichia sp. Its description in RNAcentral is "bacterial SSU rRNA". It matches the Rfam family "Bacterial small subunit ribosomal RNA", at positions 35 to 463 of the family's 1533-position model. Lineage: Bacteria; Pseudomonadati; Pseudomonadota; Gammaproteobacteria; Enterobacterales; Enterobacteriaceae. The record is from RNAcentral.
GCUGGCGGCAGGCCUAACACAUGCAAGUCGAACGGUAACAGGAAACAGCUUGCUGUUUCGCUGACGAGUGGCGGACGGGUGAGUAAUGUCUGGGAAACUGCCUGAUGGAGGGGGAUAACUACUGGAAACGGUAGCUAAUACCGCAUAACGUCGCAAGACCAAAGAGGGGGACCUUCGGGCCUCUUGCCAUCGGAUGUGCCCAGAUGGGAUUAGCUAGUAGGUGGGGUAACGGCUCACCUAGGCGACGAUCCCUAGCUGGUCUGAGAGGAUGACCAGCCACACUGGAACUGAGACACGGUCCAGACUCCUACGGGAGGCAGCAGUGGGGAAUAUUGCACAAUGGGCGCAAGCCUGAUGCAGCCAUGCCGCGUGUAUGAAGAAGGCCUUCGGGUUGUAAAGUACUUUCAGCGGGGAGGAAGGGAGUAAAGUUAA